CUGCGUGUGUGUGUGUGUGUGUGUGUGUGUGUGUGUGUGUGUGUGUGGCGGGGGCAAUAACAAAGCCCUCCCUCCAUGCCCCACCCA
This 87-nucleotide microRNA precursor is filed under the name Myotis lucifugus (little brown bat). Its description in RNAcentral is "miRNA (ENSMLUG00000028708.1)". Lineage: Eukaryota; Metazoa; Chordata; Mammalia; Chiroptera; Vespertilionidae. The record is from RNAcentral.